UGGAGGUGUGGGCAAGGUAGGAAAGAGGAGCACGACGCAGAUACAAGGAUGGUGGAUGAGAAUGGGGAAGGAAAUGAAGCGAGAGAAGAAAGAGAGAAAGGGAAGGCGAGGAGAAGAGAGACGAAGAGGGAAAAAAAAAAUAUAAGGGUAAACUUCAAAUACCGUCCCUGUGGUUUCGCACUUUCUCACUUUAGUACUUAUAAUUUAAAAUGUACCAAUUUAGUACCCUGUAAUUUUAUUUUUCUUUUUUUGUCAGCCCCCUCAUUAACUUUUCAUUAAAUCAUAUAUUAAAACCUUCAGAUACCCCACCUAUAGUUUAUCGAAUAUUCACUUUAGUACUCUUUAAUUUUAGCUUUGUCGCUGAUUUAAUAAAAAAAUUAGUUAAAAGAAUAACAAAAAGAGAACAAUAAAAUCACAGAGUACAAAAGUGAGAAAGUACAAAACCUCAGGGGUGACAUUUGAAGUUUUCUCAAAANUUUUUUAUAAAAUUAUAAUAUUAUUAAUAUUUUAUAAAUUAUAAAUUAAUAAUUUUUAAUAAUAUUAUAUAUAUAAUUAAAAAAAAUUAAUUAUAAAAAUUAAAAAUAUUAAUUACAAUUCAAAAGUUUCAAAUACAUUAAAAAUAAGAGUACUAACUUAUUUGUAUUUUGAAUUUUUUUUUGUAAAUACAUUAUUUUUUAGGAAUAUUUUGUAAAAUAUAAAUAUUUUUCGGGACGAAUUCGUGGCGGAUCAUGGCAGGGCGGAUUCGGAACGGGUCAAAAUUUCUCCCAUUUUCUGCCCCGAAUCCGUCCGGAUCGUAAAGUUUACUCCGUUUCUCGCCCCGAAUCCGUUUAUUUUCUCCCAUUUACUGCCCCCGUCGGGACGGAUCGGGGCGGGAGCUCCACCAACCCGGAUCCGUUUGCAUCCCCAUAAACACCUAA
RNAcentral lists this long non-coding RNA (917 nucleotides) under Ananas comosus (pineapple). Its description in RNAcentral is "long non-coding RNA (ACOM_LNC008150)". The record is from RNAcentral. Lineage: Eukaryota; Viridiplantae; Streptophyta; Magnoliopsida; Poales; Bromeliaceae.